Molecule: transfer RNA, 88 nt
Filed under: Granulicella cerasi
Lineage: Bacteria; Pseudomonadati; Acidobacteriota; Terriglobia; Terriglobales; Acidobacteriaceae
Also listed under: 3 other names
Description: tRNA-Ser
Rfam family: tRNA
About the family: Transfer RNA (tRNA) molecules are approximately 80 nucleotides in length.
Source: RNAcentral
GGACAGAUGGCCGAGUGGCUGAAGGCGCACGCUUGGAAAGCGUGUAUACCGCAAGGUAUCCAGGGUUCGAAUCCCUGUCUGUCCGCCA